Molecule: ribosomal RNA, 253 nt
Filed under: uncultured bacterium
Lineage: Bacteria
Description: partial 16S ribosomal RNA
Rfam family: Bacterial small subunit ribosomal RNA
Source: RNAcentral
GACGAACCGUACGAACGUUAUUCGGAAUUACUGGGCUUAAAGGGCUUGUAGGCGGCCUUGUAAGUCAGGUGUGAAAUCCCUCGGCUCAACCGAGGAAUGGCGCUUGAUACUGCAAGGCUUGAGGGAGACAGGGGUAAGCGGAACUGAUGGUGGAGCGGUGAAAUGCGUUGAUAUCAUCAGGAACACCGGUGGCGAAAGCGGCUUACUGGGUCUCUUCUGACGCUGAGGAGCGAAAGCGUGGGGAGCAAACAGG